Bubalus bubalis (water buffalo) is the source of this 487-nucleotide long non-coding RNA. RefSeq lists it as uncharacterized. NCBI's taxonomy places the organism in Eukaryota, Metazoa, Chordata, Mammalia, Artiodactyla, Bovidae. The record is from RefSeq and is a predicted model, not a curated record. The transcript is spliced from 2 exons.
CGCCUACCUGGGUCUCCGCGGCUUCCUCCGCGGCUCCGUCUGCCCGGGCCGGCCGCCACCAAGAUGGCCCGAUGGCCGGGAUGCGGGCUGGCCGAUGAGUCACGGCGGCGGCAGCCCGCCGGAACUGCUUCCCGGUCAGCUGGUUGAAUCUACAAAUGCGGAACCCGUGGACACGGAGGUCUGAUUCUGCUGAUAUGUGCCACCAUACUGAUGAACCUUGAAAGCAUUAUGAGAAGCGGAAGAAGUGAGACAGAAGAGCUAUAUAUUGUGUGAUUUUAUUUGUAUGAAAUGUCCUCAGUACACAAACCCAGAGAGACAGGGGAGAGUCCUGGUUUCCAGGGUCUGGGGAGAAGAAAAAUAGCAGUGACUGCUGAUCAGGGGACAGAAUUUCUUUUGUGGGGUGAUGAAAAUGCUGGGGUCAAUGCUGAUGAUUGCACGACCUUGUGAGUAUACUAAAACCCACUAAAUUAUAUACUUUUUAAAGGAG